Amblyraja radiata (thorny skate) is the source of this 129-nucleotide long non-coding RNA. RefSeq lists it as uncharacterized. The record is from RefSeq and is a predicted model, not a curated record. Lineage: Eukaryota; Metazoa; Chordata; Chondrichthyes; Rajiformes; Rajidae. The transcript is spliced from 3 exons.
CUUCCACCAUCGGGAAGAAGGUGAAUCCGGUAAACCGUGACCACUAGGUUCAAGAAUAGCAUCCUGCCAACUACCACCAGGCUAUUGAACAGCACACAACACUAACCUGAGUAACUGUGAUCUUCUAUG